CAACCAAACAAAAAAGAAUAAGAUGGGACAAAGAGAGAUGCACAUGCCAGUAUUGAUUUCUUACAAAAUAGUUGAAGAGUAGAUUUAAUUUAACUAAAUGAUAUUAGUAAUAUUGACAGAGGACUCAUAGCACCAACAGUAACACAGCUUCUCAGGGCUCCAUGGCCGAUCCCAUCCAGGGAUCUGAGGUCCUUCUUCUGCCUUAGGGAGAGCAGGGCCAAGGUGGAGACAUUCGAGUUGCAUGAGUCUCUCCUUGCUGUUCUGAGGAUUUUGUGAGCCUAUUACGUUAUUCUAACGAAGAAGGUGGAGUGGAUGAUGCUCUCUGUCCUCCCCAGAUCUCUCUGGAAAUACAGUUGCAUCAUGGAUCUUUCAGGCUGAAUCCCAGCUAAGGAAGAUCACAUAAAUUAAGGGAAGGCAGAAGUUGAGUGAGCCUGAGCACAAAGAAGAACUCUGCUGCCCCAUGGAAUCGGAACCUCUAAGGCAUAGGUUGGCUCCAGCUUCAGCAGUGGAUGGACCCAGUGUGGAAACGGUUUCUGAUCUGCGUUCCUCUCCGGACCCUGUCUUGCUCCACCACAAGCUCCCUCUACAGGGCGUCUCAAAGUCCACCCACAGUCCCAUAUUCACACUUAGCCGGUCACAGCUCCAAAGGUACAAGAGCGGCCCCCAGGAACUUCCUUGUGGGAAAAUUGCAAGGAAAAGCAAGGAAAAUAGGGGAGGGGGGUCAUCUUGUCAAAAGCCUUCGCUUUCUCAGGACAGCUAAAAUCUCAAGACCAGGAGAGGUGAGGCUGG
This 789-nucleotide long non-coding RNA is filed under the name Homo sapiens (human). Its description in RNAcentral is "HSALNT0000943". Lineage: Eukaryota; Metazoa; Chordata; Mammalia; Primates; Hominidae. The record is from RNAcentral.